UUCACUUUUUUCUUUCUUCAUCUUUCUUUUUUUCUUCUUUCUUCUUUCUUCUUCUCUUCCUAUAUGGAUGGGUUUUGGAGUUCCUAUCCUGUUCUAGUCCCAUUUUCUCGUAGAAAUAGAAUGGCACAAUUGGGACUCCCCUCGUCCUGUUAGGACAUAAAACCUUGACGGCAACCUCAUCCAGGCCAUCUACCACACCUUCCAUUCCCACCC
This 213-nucleotide long non-coding RNA is filed under the name Elaeis guineensis (African oil palm). Its description in RNAcentral is "long non-coding RNA (EGUI_LNC046988)". Lineage: Eukaryota; Viridiplantae; Streptophyta; Magnoliopsida; Arecales; Arecaceae. The record is from RNAcentral.